GGGCCCAUAGCUCAGCGGUUAGAGCGGCUGACUCAUAAUCAGCAAGUCCCAGGUUCAAAUCCUGGUGGGCCCACCA
Molecule: transfer RNA, 76 nt
Filed under: Candidatus Desantisiibacteriota bacterium
Lineage: Bacteria; Candidatus Desantisiibacteriota
Description: Candidatus Desantisbacteria bacterium (hot springs metagenome) tRNA-Met
Rfam family: tRNA
About the family: Transfer RNA (tRNA) molecules are approximately 80 nucleotides in length.
Source: RNAcentral